Molecule: ribosomal RNA, 260 nt
Filed under: uncultured bacterium
Lineage: Bacteria
Description: partial 16S ribosomal RNA
Rfam family: Bacterial small subunit ribosomal RNA
Source: RNAcentral
AGCGGCGGACGGGUGAGUAACGCGUGGGGAACCUGCCCUGUACAGGGGGAUAACACUUAGAAAUAGGUGCUAAUACCGCAUAAGCGCACAGUAUCGCAUGAUACAGUGUGAAAAACUCCGGUGGUACAGGAUGGACCCGCGUCUGAUUAGCUGGUUGGCGGGGUAACGGCCCACCAAGGCGACGAUCAGUAGCCGGCCUGAGAGGGUGAACGGCCACAUUGGGACUGAGACACGGCCCAAACUCCUACGGGAGGCAGCAG